This 460-nucleotide ribosomal RNA is filed under the name uncultured bacterium. Its description in RNAcentral is "partial 16S ribosomal RNA". It matches the Rfam family "Bacterial small subunit ribosomal RNA", at positions 338 to 795 of the family's 1533-position model. The record is from RNAcentral.
CCUACGGGGGGCUGCAGUGAGGAAUAUUGGUCAAUGGGCGCUAGCCUGAACCAGCCAAGUAGCGUGAAGGAUGACUGCCCUAUGGGUUGUAAACUUCUUUUAUAUGGGAGUAAAGUGCAGUAUGUAUACUGCUUUGCAUGUACCUUAUGAAUAAGGAUCGGCUAACUCCGUGCCAGCAGCCGCGGUAAUACGGAGGAUCCGAGCGUUAUCCGGAUUUAUUGGGUUUAAAGGGAGCGUAGGCGGGUUGUUAAGUCAGUGGUGAAAGUUUGCGGCUCAACCGUAAAAUUGCAGUUGAUACUGGCAGCCUUGAGUACAGUAGAGGUAGGCGGAAUUCGUGGUGUAGCGGUGAAAUGCUUAGAUAUCACGAAGAACUCCGAUUGCGAAGGCAGCCUGCUGGACUGUAACUGACGCUGAUGCUCGAAAGUGUGGGUAUCAAACAGGAUUAGAUACCCUAGUAGUC